This 259-nucleotide unclassified non-coding RNA is filed under the name Hevea brasiliensis (rubber tree). The record is from RNAcentral. Lineage: Eukaryota; Viridiplantae; Streptophyta; Magnoliopsida; Malpighiales; Euphorbiaceae.
GUACAACCAAUAGAAUUAAAUGAAAGGCAAUUGAACGAAACAAAUGAAUGACAGAGAAUAUUUUCAACACAGGGUGGUGACUGAAAGGAGUCAAUACAUCUCAUUGCAGUCUGCAGAAGCUUCCCAGUGUGGCAUCUUUCUAAAGACAAUUACUAAUACUAAGAAAUAUGAGUGGCUAGAAUGCAAAGAAAUAAUAACUCACCCAAAACGAAAUGGAGGCAAAUGGCUUAAAGGUGUUUUCAUAUCUAAAGAUAUAGAG